UACGGGGGGGGCAAGCGUUGUUCGGAAUUACUGGGCGUAAAGGGCUCGUAGGCGGCCAACUAAGUCAGACGUGAAAUCCCUCAGCUUAACUGGGGAACUGCGUCUGAUACUGGAUGGCUUGGAUCCGGAAGAGGGAUGCGGAAUUCCAGGUGUGGCGGUGAAAUGCGUAGAUAUCUGGAGGAACACCGGUGGCGAAGGCGGCAUCCUGGGCCGGUAUUGACGCUGAGGAGCGAAAGCCAGGGGAGCAAACGGG
RNAcentral lists this ribosomal RNA (253 nucleotides) under uncultured bacterium. RNAcentral's name for it is "partial 16S ribosomal RNA". It matches the Rfam family "Bacterial small subunit ribosomal RNA", at positions 524 to 776 of the family's 1533-position model. The record is from RNAcentral.